This 253-nucleotide ribosomal RNA is filed under the name uncultured bacterium. RNAcentral's name for it is "partial 16S ribosomal RNA". It matches the Rfam family "Bacterial small subunit ribosomal RNA", at positions 524 to 776 of the family's 1533-position model. The record is from RNAcentral.
UACGUAGGGUCCGAGCGUUGUCCGGAAUUACUGGGCGUAAAGAGCUCGUAGGUGGUUUGUCGCGUUGUUCGUGAAAACUCACAGCUUAACUGUGGGCGUGCGGGCGAUACGGGCAGACUAGAGUUCGGUAGGGGAGACUGGAAUUCCUGGUGUAGCGGUGAAAUGCGCAGAUAUCAGGAGGAACACCGGUGGCGAAGGCGGGUCUCUGGGCCGAUACUGACGCUGAGGAGCGAAAGCGUGGGGAGCGAACAGG